Molecule: long non-coding RNA, 1065 nt
Filed under: Heterocephalus glaber (naked mole-rat)
Lineage: Eukaryota; Metazoa; Chordata; Mammalia; Rodentia; Bathyergidae
Description: lncRNA (ENSHGLG00000039779.1)
Source: RNAcentral
GUCCUGUUUAUUUCACUUAAGAGUAUGGCCUCAAUAUGCAUCCAUUUAGCUAUAAAUGCCUCUAAUUUCUCAUUCUUUAUGGCUGAGUAGUACUCCAUUUUAUAAAAAAUUUUUUUUCUUUAUCCAGACUCCAGUUGAUGGGCACUUGGGCUGUUUCCAAGCUUUUGCUAUUAUGAACUGUGUCACUAUAAACAUGGGGCCAGUGGGGAAGGCUGGAGAGAGACACAUGCUUCCUGACCAUCCCGAAUCGGCGUCGAGAGCUCUGAGAUGAACUCUGCGGAAGCUGGUGAUUCUCACAGUGCUGGGACGGCCUCCCUCAGCCCGAGCCAGAUCCUGUGUUCCCUCGAUAGCGCGAGUUUCCGCCAUACGCUGUUUGACAGUGGGCAGCUUUGUAAAACCUACUCACGCCCAGUGCUGCCCGAGGCAUUCACAUACGCACGUUUUCUAGAGGACACAUUGAAAACAGGCGGAAGAAAACAGGCGGAAUUAAUAGUAUUUAACCCCAUGUAGGUAUCAAAUGUUGUGAAUGAGUUUUGACAUUCAUGUCACUCUCCUCUGUCCUAUGUCUUGGACACUGUGUGUCCUUUAUACUCUCAGCACCUCUUAUGUUGGACGGGUCACUUCUGAAGGCCUUGGGGUGACCCAGGGCUGUACACUGCAGUCUACCCCUGCCUGUCGGCUAGCAGUUUGCAUAACUGGUAUUAAAUACAGGUACAUGUAUAUAAAUGCCGUGCUGGAAGUUGAACACAGGACCUUGGGCAAGCUGGGCAAAUGCUCUACCCCUGAGCGACAGCCCAGCCUCACUGUAUUUUAGUGAGACCAGGUUUUGCCGAGUGGCCCAGGGUGGUCUCUCAGCUGAAAUCCACCUGCCUCAGCCCUCCAGAGGGCUGGGAUUGCAGCUGUGCACCCCAGUGGUCAGUGUUAGGACUGUUUCUAAGGAAUGCUGAAGUGCCUGCAUAGCUUGGCCUAACACUAAAUUCUUCAAGUCUGCUGUAUUUUCCAGCACUUUCUUCUUCUGUAGAAGUAGAAUCCUUUACAUACAAAUUUUUUCUUUUUGGUAUCGGG